Long non-coding RNA from Caenorhabditis elegans, 1906 nucleotides. Ensembl annotates it as ncRNA. Its record names the gene linc-76. The record is from Ensembl. Lineage: Eukaryota; Metazoa; Nematoda; Chromadorea; Rhabditida; Rhabditidae.
CGCAUAACUCUGCCUCUCAUUGUCAAGCAACUCAAAUCUAAUAUGAAAAUAUUAAAUAGCAAUAUUUUUGUAGUUUGGUGAUAUUUCGAGAUAAAGUCGCAAUAUCCCGAGACUCAUUCGAAAUAUUUUUAGAUUGAGCAAUAUUUUCUUUUGAGCAGUCUUUUGAGACAAAUUAGUAAUAUUUUGAGAUAAAACGGAAGUCUUCCUAGAAAUUUUCACACUUUCGCAAUAUUUUGAGAUGAAAUUGUAAUCUUUGAGACAACAUCGAAAUCUAUUCGAAAUUUUUAGUAAUCUUAUAUGGACGCACUAUUACAAAAAUAUUGCUAUUUAAUAUUUUCAUAUUAGAUUUGAGUUGCCUGAGCUCCCUUGCGAUUCAGAGAAGUUUUUCUCGAAUUCUCCAGUAAAUUUCAGAGGAAUCCAGAAUUUUCUCAAAUUUCCAGAAGCUUCUAGAAUAUUCUGAAAUGUUCUCGAAUUUCCCAGAAGGUUAUUUAUAAAACAGUUCAGAAUUGUAAAUUUUUCUAAAAAUUGUAAUUUCCCGCCCAACAUUUUCUCAGAAAAAUUUAAUUCCCGCCAAAAAAUUUGAAUUCCCGCCAAAAAUUUUCACAGAAAAUUUGAAUUCGCGCCAAAGUUUUUCUCAGAAAAUUGAAUUCGCGACAAAAUGUUUCUCGGACAGUUUUAAGUCCCGCUAAAACUUAUGGGUCUCACCACGAUGGGUCUUGCCACGAAGGGUGACAGAGCCCGACCACAACUCUCGGUGACUUUGGGCGUGAAGUCACAGACAACAAAGACAACAUAGACUGCAAACUACGGACACACGGAAUAAACGCUUUAUCAACAGUAAAUGAUCAUUUGCUAUAUAUAAAGCGCUUAUUCCGUUUGUAGUGGUACGGUAAGAGUACUGUAGGAUUACGGAAGUUUCAGAAAACCAGUUUUCAGCCCCAGAAGUCGGGGGCCGCGCCGGAGGUGCGGUCCACGGCUGGUAUUCUAUAUUCAAAUAUUCAAAUUAGAGAUAUGAAAAAGAAAAAAAAAUAUACGAAAAAGUUGAUAAACCAAAUUUCUGAUUCAAUAACUAGAAUGGAACCAUUUCUGAGACACUAGUCCAUAUGAAAAGCUUGUGGCUCUAUGCAAUCACUCUAAUAACUAUAACACUUCUGAUGCCUGUCGUCGUUGAAAACGAAAUGAGCACAAACAUUUUUUAGGAAUACAUAAUCAGAAAUAUUUUCUUAAUCGACAGUAAAAAUUUUGUAGCAUUAAAUAUCUCAAGUUUCAACGUUUUUGAAUUCGCAAAACUGAAUGUCACCCUGAAGAGGUGAAGCCUGAGAAAGUAUCGAUUUUUUGUAGCGGAAGAAUAUGGAUUUCAAAAUUAUGUUUAAAUAUUUUAUGCGAACAAGAGAACAAAAAUAACGACAACAGUAACAAGAUAUGAAAAAAAUGGAAUUUUCCUCAAGUUUUGAGAAAAAAAGGACUGCAACUUUUCUUGAGCGAGGGACGAGAAAACGUUUCGCGGCGGAUCCGACAAGAUUUCACUUUUUUCUCGCUUAUUUUUUGUUGUUUUCAUGCGUGUUUUUUGCUGUUCUUCUUCAUUUUUAAAAUUUUUAAAAUUUUAAAAAUUUUAAAAUAACAUUAAAAAAUUUUUUCUCGAUUUUUUUGACAUAAUAUUUGAAAACAAACUUUUUUCUCAGAUAUUUCACAAGAAUCAGGAUAAAUUGCUGUCUCCAACGAAUUUUAUGGAGGACUUAAAAGACCCGUCUUCACUGAAGCCAUACCUGCCCGGAUCAUCGGGUUCAAGCGUCGGAUUCGAGAGGGAUUCAAGAUUCAAGGACUCAUCGAAAAAUUUGAAUUUUUUAUACCCUUCGUUUUUCUUUUUUUAAACUUUUAUAUAUUUAUUUAAUAAAUAAUCAUGGAU